Phalacrocorax carbo (great cormorant) is the source of this 386-nucleotide non-coding RNA. NCBI's taxonomy places the organism in Eukaryota, Metazoa, Chordata, Aves, Suliformes, Phalacrocoracidae. The record is from the annotation of a RefSeq genome assembly.
AGACGCGGAACUGCUGGGAUCGCGCCAUGGCCUGGGCCCCUCUCCUCCUCGCGGUGCUCGUCCACGGCUCAGGUUCCCUGGUCCAGGCAGCGCUGACUCAGCCGCCCUCGGUGUCAGCGAACCUGGGACAAACCAUCCAGAUCACCUGCUCUGGGGUUAGCAGCAGCACCAGCUAUGUUGGCUGGUACCAGCAGAAGGUGCCUGGCACUGCCCCUGUCACUGUGAUCUAUAACGGCAACAACAGACCCUCGGGCAUCCCUUCGCGAUUCUCUGGAUCUUACUCUGGCUCCACAAACACACUAACCAUCUCUGGGGUGCAAGCCGAGGACGAGGCUGUCUAUUACUGUGGUGGCUGGGAGAGCAGCAGCAGCUAUGGUGUCUGGUGA